This 216-nucleotide ribosomal RNA is filed under the name Glomeromycotina sp. Its description in RNAcentral is "partial small subunit ribosomal RNA". The stretch from base 40 to 216 matches the Rfam family "Eukaryotic small subunit ribosomal RNA", at positions 686 to 864 of the family's 1831-position model. Lineage: Eukaryota; Fungi; Glomeromycota. The record is from RNAcentral.
GGGUCAGUAGGUUGGUCGUGCCACCGGUACGUACUGGUCUCACUGAUUCCUCCUUCCUGAAGAACCGUAAUGCCAUUAAUUUGGUGUUGGGGGGAAACAGGACUGUUACUUUGAAAAAAUUAGAGUGUUUAAAGCAAGCUAACGCUUGAAUACAUUAGCAUGGAAUAAUGAAAUAGGACGAUCGAUCCUAUUUUGUUGGUUUCUAGGAUUGACGUA